RNAcentral lists this long non-coding RNA (268 nucleotides) under Prunus persica (peach). Its description in RNAcentral is "long non-coding RNA (PPER_LNC004671)". Lineage: Eukaryota; Viridiplantae; Streptophyta; Magnoliopsida; Rosales; Rosaceae. The record is from RNAcentral.
UAAAAACAAAUUCCAAAAAAAACUACUUAAAAUAAAAGGUGAAGAAAGAUGAUUAUGAAUUUGGUUGAUUCUAAAAACAAAUAUUAAACAAAAACAAAUACGAUAGAAGGAAAGAGUUUUGAAUAUCAAUUUAUAAAAGCACUUACCAUCACCUAGCACUCCUAUGAACUUUUACCAAUUACUUAUGAUUUGCACAUGCCACUUUGAAGGUUAGGUUUUCCUAAUGUAUAUUCUACUUGGAACCUCCAACACAGAACGUAUAUCCAAC